Molecule: long non-coding RNA, 1148 nt
Organism: Nerophis lumbriciformis (worm pipefish)
Lineage: Eukaryota; Metazoa; Chordata; Actinopteri; Syngnathiformes; Syngnathidae
Source: RefSeq, a predicted model, not a curated record
GAGAGGUGGAAAAUUUUGCUUCAAAACAGAAUUUCAGAUAACUUGUUGGUCUUGCAGCAACAAACAUCUGCGUACAUCAAGCUGAAAAUAUCAUAGUAAAGCAAAAUACGAACUUGAGGAUGUCGCAGACAGUGUUGCCAACUUGACAACUUUGUCGCUAAAUCUAGCGACUUUACAAUCAUCUAGGCGACAUUUUUUUGUAAACAGCUACUAGCGACAAAUCUAGAAACUUUUCCUGGUGAUCUUGGAGACUUUUUGUAUGUCUUGGAGAAUUUUUUGUGUCUAGGAGACUGAGGUGAAGGGAGCAGUGACAGGUGCAGCCGGUUAGCUAGUGCUGGUGCUGCUGCAGCGCGAGCAGAGCGGCCACGUCGAAAGCAUGAAUGCUAACUACAUCGACAACAAGCAGAGGAAAACGCUACAUUGGUGGUUUACCUGCGUCAAUGUUAUCAACAAAAGUACCACAGUUAAAUUAAACAUAUGCCUUUGCUAAACGAACAGCCACCACAUGUAAACCGCAGAAAAUCUGUGAAGAUCAAAACCAGCAAGAAUAUGUUAUCUAUAUGACUACAAAUGAUCUGUCGUACAAUACCUUGGAGAGACACAAUAACAACAAGGAUAAACGAACUGUACUGCACAAACACGAGCACCGAGUUGCAACUGCGGGCUGAAUGAGAAUUUAUAUUGCUUACUGGAGAACUCUGGACAUCUGUAACGAACGGAGGCGUGUUCUGGUGUGGAAUAGAGAAUGAGUGCGACAAUAAGAGGAUGGCGGGGGUACCUGUGACUGCUGUGCCAUUUUCGUCUGAAGCCUGGCGAAUGCUGCUGGCUCUGGGCAGGGUGCCCUUGGCCUCGUGCUUGAAGAUGGAAGAGGAGAGCUCCUCCAGGGUGCAGCCCAGCAGAGCUGAAGUGAUGAUUUAUUACCUUCUCGACAUCAUCUUCAUCCACGUCCAAUAAAGAUCCAUCACUCUCCAGGCGGAUUUUCACCUUCCCCUCCGGCAGACUGCCUGCUUCUGUCUUCAGGAGAGUUGCUGCAUGACAACAAUGGGAAUGUAUCUUUAUUGCUUUAUUUACUGGAAUGGAAGUUAUAUUUGUGAAAUAGGUUUCAUAAGAAAAACACUUGACUAACCCAUGGAAAAUCCAUUCUUGUG